AGGGUUUGAUCCUGGCUCAGGACGAACGCUGGCGGCGUGGAUAAGACAUGCAAGUUGAGCGAUCAGCGACCUGAUGGUAACUGAAGGUUGAGAUAGCAGCGAACGGGUGAGUAACACGUGGGAAUCUGCCCUAAAGUUCGGAAUAGCCCAUCGGAAGGUGGGGUAAUACCGGAUGUGAUCUUCGGAUUAAAGGCCUCGGCCGCUUUGGGAUGAGCCCGCGCUCCAUCAGCUAGUUGGUAGGGUAAAAGCCUACCAAGGCGAUGACGGAUAGCUGGUCUGAGAGGACGGUCAGCCACACUGGAACUGAGACACGGUCCAGACACCUACGGGUGGCAGCAGUCGAGAAUCUUGGUCAAUGGGCGAAAGCCUGAACCAGCGACGCCGCGUGGGGGAUGAAGGCCUUCGGGUCGUAAACCCCUGUCGGUUGCGAGUAAACCCUGUCUUUGACAGGGCCACAACAAGCGUUGUGGGUUGAUAUUAGCAGCAAAGGAAGGGGCGGCUAACUCCGUGCCAGCAGCCGCGGUAAUACGGAGGCCCCAAGCGUUGUUCGGAUUUACUGGGCGUAAAGGGUGCGUAGGCGGUGAGAUAAGUUUGGCGUGAAAGCUCCGGGCCCAACCCGGAAAAUGCGCUGAAAACUAUUUCACUAGAGGAUUGGAGGGGAGACUGGAAUUCCUGGUGUAGCAGUGAAAUGCGUUAAUAUCAGGAGGAACACCAAUGGCGAAGGCAAGUCUCUGGACAAUUCCUGACGCUGAGGCACGAAGGCCAGGGGAGCGAAGAGGAUUAGAUACCCUCGUAGUCCUGGCAGUAAACGGUGCGCACUUGCUGUGGGCGUGUUCGACCGCGUCCGUGGCGAAGCUAACGCGUUAAGUGCGCCGCCUGGGGAGUACGGCCGCAAGGUUAAAACUCAAAGAAAUUGACGGGGGCCUGCACAAGCGGUGGAGCAUGUGGCUUAAUUCGAUGCAACGCGAAGAACCUUACCUGGGCUUGACAUGUUUGUCGUAGUCCCGUGAAAGCGGGACGUCAGUUCGGCUGGACAAUCACAGGUGCUGCAUGGCUGUCGUCAGCUCGUGUCGUGAGAUGUUGGUUUAAGUACCGCAACAAGCGCAACCCCUGUGUCCUGUUGCCACGGAGAACACGUUUCUUCAGCACUCUGGACAGACUGCCCCAUUUUUAGUGGGGAGGAAGGUGGGGAUGACGUCAAGUCAGUAUGGCCCUUACGCCCAGGGCUGCACACGUGCUACAAUGCCUAGUACAAUGGGAAGCAAGACCGCGAGGUGGAGCCAAUCCCCAAAACUAGGCCCAGUUCGGAUUGGAGUCUGCAACUCGACUCCAUGAAGUUGGAAUCGCUAGUAACGGCGCAUCAGCUACGGCGCCGUGAAUACGUUCCCAGGCCUUGUACACACCGCCCGUCACAUCAUGAAAGCCGGGAGCACCCGAAGUCCGCGAUUACGUGGCCGAAGGUGAGUUUGGUAAUUGGGAUGAAGUCGUAACAAGGUAGCCG
Molecule: ribosomal RNA, 1501 nt
Filed under: uncultured bacterium
Lineage: Bacteria
Description: bacterial SSU rRNA
Rfam family: Bacterial small subunit ribosomal RNA
Source: RNAcentral